GCCCUGGCUGCACAUUCAAACCACCUGGGGAUUUUGAACUCACCUGUGGAGUUGUUCAUCUACUUGCUUUUCACAGAGGUCUAGAGUUCCUGGUCUCGAUUCCUGGGAUGGGCCGGUCAUCACCUCCUGGGCCUGAUGAGGAGAGUGCAUGUUCUCUGCUGUUGUAGGAAGUAACACAAGUAGGCAGAGAGGUUGCUUCAAGCUCUGAGGGCCUCAACUUCAGGAAUAGCCUGAAAAUAAUAUGAAGGCAAAACAGUGCAGUUGCUCUCUAAAUCGCCUUGGCUUUGAUGUGUGUUAGUAAUGAAGCAGCACUCCUGAGGCCCUCAGACUUGAACUGAAAUCUGAACCAUCAGCUCUCAGGCCUUCAACCACACCACUGGUUUUCCUGGAUCUCCAGCUCGUAGAUGGCAGAUUGUGGGACUUCUCAGAUUCCGUUAAUUGCGCAGAUGCCUGAGGAGCUCCUUUCUGUGAAUUUACUCCAGUUGCCACACCCUGGGCCCCUAGAGCAGUGUUUGUCUCCUGGCAGGCCUCACCCCAUCAGAUGGGAAGGACAAACGUGCUCCCGGAACGUGAUUCCUCAGCACUCCUCGUUCAUCACCUGCACUCUCCCCCCGGACUCCUGCCCUUCCUGCAGCCCCUCCUUCCCUUCUCUGGAUCUGUCCUGUUCCCUUUCUGCCUUCUCCAGGACCUGUCCCCAGGGCCUGCAGCCCCCAGCCCCUCCAUAUGGGCAAGAUGAAAAAACCCAGAGCACUUGGAAGAAGUUCUAGGGGCUAUGGAAGAACGUGUAUGAAUCCUACCUUGGGCUUUUACUAAAAGAACAUGCUCUCUGCCAUGGAUAGUGUGGGUUUGAUGCUGGCUUUGGAGGGCUGUAGAAAGGGUACUAAAGUUCCCGAGAGGAGGUUGGAAUUCUGGAGUU
RNAcentral lists this long non-coding RNA (916 nucleotides) under Equus caballus (horse). RNAcentral's name for it is "lncRNA (ENSECAG00000056856.1)". The record is from RNAcentral. Lineage: Eukaryota; Metazoa; Chordata; Mammalia; Perissodactyla; Equidae.